GCGGCGGACGGGUGAGUAACACGUGGGCAACCUGCCUGUAAGACUGGGAUAACUUCGGGAAACCGGAGCUAAUACCGGAUAAUGCAUUUCCCCUCAUGAGGAUAUGCUGAAAGAUGGUUUCGGCUAUCACUUACAGAUGGGCCCGCGGCGCAUUAGCUAGUUGGUGAGGUAACGGCUCACCAAGGCAACGAUGCGUAGCCGACCUGAGAGGGUGAUCGGCCACACUGGGACUGAGACACGGCCCAGACUCCUACGGGAGGCAGCAGUAGGGAAUCUUCCGCAAUGGACGAAAGUCUGACGGAGCAACGCCGCGUGAGUGAUGAAGGUUUUCGGAUCGUAAAACUCUGUUGUCAGGGAAGAACAAGUGCCGGAGUAACUGCCGGCACCUUGACGGUACCUGACCAGAAAGCCACGGCUAACUACGUGCCAGCAGCCGCGGUAAUACGUAGGUGGCAAGCGUUGUCCGGAAUUAUUGGGCGUAAAGCGCGCGCAGGCGGUCUCUUAAGUCUGAUGUGAAAGCCCACGGCUCAACCGUGGAGGGUCAUUGGAAA
This 551-nucleotide ribosomal RNA is filed under the name Bacillus sp. CH336a_11D. Its description in RNAcentral is "bacterial SSU rRNA". It matches the Rfam family "Bacterial small subunit ribosomal RNA", at positions 95 to 632 of the family's 1533-position model. Lineage: Bacteria; Bacillati; Bacillota; Bacilli; Caryophanales; Bacillaceae. The record is from RNAcentral.